GCUUCCAUCUUUUGUUCUUUUUGUGAAAGAACAGAAAGACACACUGACCCUCCUAAAAUCCUCCCCCCACCCAAACUCUGGCAAUUCUUUAGUUUUGCUGUGAAUAUGUUGAUGGGAGCAGUUCUGAGUUAUACCUUUCAAAUCCUGGGGCAUUGCAAAGCCCAGCUGCCUGUGGACUUGGGAGAGCAGGCUUUAUGCUCGCACGCACACACACACACACUCACACCGGCAACAGAAAUCAACCCCUUUAACAUGCUGGCUAAUCCAUUUUUUUUCUUGUUUUUCAAGGUAAAUUUCAACCACUCCUGUCAGUGUCACUCACCAGUUUGAUAGUUUGCAACCUGAGGUGGUCCUGGUUUGGGGAGUAUAUCCAUCCAGCCAGAAGCACUAGCAAGAUAGUCUCUCCUGACUCAGGGAAAAAGCUGUCCUAGGGUGAACCUCAACGACACCUGAACAGAAAAUGACAAAAUGUGCAAAGUUUACAGAAAGUGAAGGAGCCACUCUGAAAUCAAGAUUCACAAUACCAAGGCACAGACAUGAAAAUGAAAAAUUAAAAUGAAGGAAGUGAAGGAGGAGCAGCUCCCCCAUGGACGUCGAUGGGAGUUCUACACUCAAAAGCACUGAAGCAAUGGCAAUAAAGAUCUACAGUGUACAAAGGAAAAAAAUACAUGACAACCACCACCAACAACAUAAAACCUGCUUAGCAUGGGCACUGAGCAGGGAAUUUCUACCCUUAGCAACCAGAGCAGGAAUGCAGGGUAGACACCAAGUGAGCCAGUCUAUUUGUUGGUCCCCCUAAAAUUCCAGCCCAAGUCAAUGGAUGGCAAAUCUGGCAGCACAUUGAAUCACCUGGGGAGCUUUAAAAACAUAAUAGUACCCCAAACCCACCCCCAGAGAUUCUGAUUUAAUUGAUCUGAGGAGGAGUUUGGGCAUUGGUGUCUUUGAAAAGCUUCCCUGGUGAUUCUAAUGUGCAGUGGAGUUGAGAUUCACUAUUCACAUUCUGAAAUUGCUUGGCAGGUUUUGCAUCUGGACCACAGAGAGCAGGUGGUCAUCAGACCUGCCCCUUAGCACUGUCACAGGAACUGGGGAUGCAGGUGGAAUUAAAUCUUUGUUCAUGAAAACUGUUGAGAAAAUAAAGUAUUGAUCUUACUUGAGAGACUUUUAUGUUAGUCAAUUAAAUUAGUACUGUACCUUUCUACUAGUAAAAUAAGAGUACCAUUACUAUAUGGAAAUAUAAUGUUCCAUAAUAUUUUUAUUGUGAGACAGGGGACAUGUCUUACUGCUCUCAAAUGUACAGUUUAUGCAAGACUAUAAAGUUAGCUGUAAUCCAUAAACAGGCGAUAUAGAUCUUAGAUAUCUCUUUUAAGAUCAGUUGGAAGGAAAAUUCCUUAUUCCUUAGCAACACCAUAGGAAGCAGGAUUGCCUCCAAGAAAAAAAAAUCCUUAUCUUUCCUAAUUAUUCCACAUGAAAAGGCAAUAGAACAUUCCAUUUUUCUAAUAUUUGAAGGGGAAUAAACAUGCUUUUGAUUGUUCUCAUGUAUGAAUAUUGUUCAAGUAUUGAAAAUGAAAACUGAAAAAUAUUUAUUUAAUUUUUGUUAUUUUUUUCUGUGCUACUUACUCAGCUCCCCUGCAGCAAGAAUCAGAGAUAUAUUUUCUCUGAAUGUCAUAUGCUACAGUAGAAAACAACACAGUAUGUAGGAAGGUUACGUGUUUCCUGGGUUGUUGAGGGGCUGAUAGUUUCAAGCACGGUACAAAUAGGCAUUUUACUUGAGCAUUUUCACUUUAGGCUAUUUGGAAAUGUGUCAUUUAAAAUGUGGAAUCCUGGCACAAGAUUUUCACACUGAAAUUUCUUCAAAACUAUCUAAAAUGUGUCUUAUUUGUGAAAAUGCAUCUUAUUAAUCCAUUGUGAUAUAAAAUAACAGCUGCUAAUAUGAUUUUAAAGUUUGUAAUAAAGUGCAUCAAAAUGUCUAUAGAACGGAUCGUGACAGCACAGCCAACAAGCGAUAUUUCAGGGACUUUUAAUAUGUGCGUGAAAUGCCAACAUGGCAGAAAAGAAAAACUCCCAAAUGUAUCUUUCUUGAUUUUGACAUUUAUUCUCCCAAUUUGGACCCCAUAAAUGUCCCAGACUUUUUUUUUGUUAGACAGGAAGAAGGUAAUAGUAUUGAUGUUAACAUAAAAGCUACAGUCUCAGUGCCAGUCUGUAUCAGUUAGCUAUUGCUACAAACAUGCUGUGUAACAAACCCUGUAGCUUAGUUACUUAAAAUAAUAUAUUCAAUUUUCUGGGUGUCAGAUGGGCUUUGGCGUGGCUACACACUGUGGUUUGGGUCUAUUUCUGUUGUAGGAGCCUCUCAUAUUUUUAGGUCUGUAGUUAACCAAGGCAUGGUUUUCUCAUGGCAAUAGCACAAGUGCAAGAGAAAUUAGUGGAAACAGAAAAUGUUGUAAGGCCUUGGCAUGUACUGGCUCAUUGUCAUAUCCACCUAUGUUCCACUGGCUGAAACAAAUCACAUGGUCAGAGGUCAUCUGAAUGAUGGAGGGCCAGGGGAAUGUACACCGGUAUUACUGGGAUGAAUUGCAUCAGGAGACAACUGUUGUUUUGGUCAUGAGAGGACAGGGUUCUGGUAUGACUGUGGCUUUUCUUUUUAAAUUAACAAUGUGAUAGUCACUUAACCAUACCUAUUGAUAGAAUUUUUAGUGCUAGAUUGUCAUAGUUAAAACCAUACCUCUAACAACUACAGACUUUUUGACUUUGAGCACAUUACUUAAUCAUCUGUUCUUUAGUUUCCUCAUCUAUAAAUGUAUGUAAUAAUAAUGCCUAACACAAAGAGUUGUACAAGGAUGAAAUGAAUUAGUAUAUGUAAGAAUUACCUUAGAAAAUCAAUAGUCAUCUUCAGCCAGAGUAUUAUGUGACAUUCCAGUCUUCCUUCUAAAAUUCGCUGUAUUGUUUCUGAAAUAUAAAUUUCCAGAGGACAGGAGCUAUGCCUACUUUAUAUACUGUGUAUAUUUUCCAGUAAAUCAUCAUAUUUACAAGUAGUCUAAUCUAUUAUUUGGGGUAAUUAUGAUGGCUAAACACAAAUAACAAUUGCUUACCAUCCACAUGAUUCCCUCUGUCCAAAUGCAUUUAUGCCAACCCCUUGACUACAUAUACCUUUCCU
Molecule: non-coding RNA, 3151 nt
Organism: Heterocephalus glaber (naked mole-rat)
Lineage: Eukaryota; Metazoa; Chordata; Mammalia; Rodentia; Bathyergidae
Source: RefSeq, a predicted model, not a curated record